CUUCAAGAAAGGAGCAGAAUGCUGAAGAUGAUGCCAGAAUUAAGCCAAGUUCCUGGCUUCUCCCAAGACCUUCAAGGACCCAAUUGACCUCGGAAUCAUCUGUAAAGGAGGAUGAAACCGAUUUCUAAGAAUGGGACAGCGAUAUUGCAUCAAUUGGUCUCCUACUUCAUUUGAUUCCACCAUCACCACAAGGCUGCAAGGGACCUGGAAAAAUGUCGUCCUAUCAAGCUGAAAAACAUCUUCAAAAAGGCACCAACAAGAAGAACAGCUUGAUUGCAUAGAAGAGACCACACAGCCAUACCUGCUCGCUGAUGGGACAACGAGGAACAUCAUUCAUGGAUGCUACACAACUGUCAAAUCUACCUGUCAUAUUUGUUCAUGUCUAGGUAAAUUUGAUGAUUUUGUGUUUUAUUAACUAUUUUAUGUUUCUGUGCAACACUUAAUGAAUGUGACUGACUAAUUAACCUCUACACAUCAGAUAUAUGUUUUAAAGUUGCCACUU
Molecule: long non-coding RNA, 502 nt
Organism: Sinocyclocheilus anshuiensis
Lineage: Eukaryota; Metazoa; Chordata; Actinopteri; Cypriniformes; Cyprinidae
Exons: 4
Source: RefSeq, a predicted model, not a curated record